This is a long non-coding RNA of Alosa sapidissima (American shad), 101 nucleotides long. RefSeq lists it as uncharacterized. The transcript has 4 exons. Lineage: Eukaryota; Metazoa; Chordata; Actinopteri; Clupeiformes; Clupeidae. The record is from RefSeq and is a predicted model, not a curated record.
UCCUGGUCCUGCUGGGCAGUGUAGUCCCACUUGGCUAUAACAAUCACCUCCUCUGUCAUCUUUCAUGGAGUCCCUCUUUGGCCUCAGUUAUUAGAGAUGAU